RNAcentral lists this long non-coding RNA (2160 nucleotides) under Heterocephalus glaber (naked mole-rat). RNAcentral describes it as "lncRNA (ENSHGLG00000041835.1)". The record is from RNAcentral. Lineage: Eukaryota; Metazoa; Chordata; Mammalia; Rodentia; Bathyergidae.
CCAAAGCUGCAGCAGGCCCCAGCAAGCCCACUCCGUUGUCCCAAGAAAUAGUUCCAUAGGGCCACAGGCCAUGUGAGCAAGGGUGCUUGUUGAGACAGCCUAGCCCAAUGAGCCGCCAGGGAUAUCUCAUGGCCAUCAGUGGGGCAUAGGACAGAGGAACUGUCCUCCCAGGCAGGAUGUAAGGCAUUCCAGCUCUUAGGAAGAAUGCAGAGUUGGGCAUGGUGGUGCAUGUCUGUCAUGCCAGCCCUCUAGGAGGCUGAAGUAGGAGGAUCACAAGUUUGAGCCUUAGCAUGAUCCUACUCAAAAUGAAAAAACUAAAAAGGGCUGGGGAUACAGCUCAGUGCGAAGGCCCUGGGUUCAAUCCUCAGUACUGUAAAAACAAAAUGGAACAAAAUACAGCCAUUUAAGACAUUGUAGAGGGUAAACUAGCUUGGGUCAAUACACUGUGGGCUCCCUUUAUGUUCUGAGAGAAACAGAGCCAUCAAAUGAGUGAUUUCUCUUGGUUUAACAGAGGAGCAGAUAAGCCCCCAAGACAGCAAACAGUGGGGUCCUCCAAUGAGUGUCCCCCAAGAACAGCACUGGUGUUUUCCUCGUGGCGCUUGAAGCUUUAUAAAAAGGCUAUUCUAGUGCCUUACUGUUAAAAUUAGAAAUAAAAGCCAAAACAUGCAAAAGAGAAAAUAAAAAUGCCUCCUGGUCAAUUAUGUUGUGAAAUGGCUCAAAACAGAGACCAAGAAUCAAGCCGGGCCAGCGAGCAGGUGAUUGCAGAGUGGUGGGAGCCAACCUCUCCGCCCCCCAGGCUCAGGCCCAGAGCCUGCCAAGACGCCCCCUCCCUGCCUUGCUGCCUCAGAGCAGGCAGGAAGCAGCUGUGGAUCCCACUGCCUUCUUAGUCAGAAGGGGAAAAUGAGGGCCUGGGGUAGGGCCAAGUCAGCCCCCACCUCCUCCCCACUGUUCAGAUCAACAGGCUCUUUUCGCACCCCUCCCUCUGGCUCUCUAGCGUGCUCCACCAUGGCCCACUUACUACAUGAUAGAGCUUCCAAAGCCACUUAACCUCUCCAAGUCUCCGUUCCCUGUCUGAGCAGGAGGGUGCUAACAUCUGCCCAAUGGGAUCAUGGAGAACUGCAAUUGAGACUGUGGAAGGAGACUGCUAGGGAACAAGCUGCUCCUACGCGCCUGGUCCCACCUCCCUCAGUUUCCUCUCCCAAACCAGCCUAGGUGAGUUGAAGACAGGGCCUUGUGACAAUGGACGAGGACCUGGGCUGCCCUAGCUCUUGAGCCUCAGCUGGGGACUCCAUUCCUGAUGUGGGACUCUGCAACCAAGACACUGCCAUGCUCUGGUGCUAUGGCUUGAAGUGUCCCAAAGAUUCAGCUGCUGGAACCUGAAUCUCCAGUGCAACAGUAUUAGCCCACAUAAGGGCCAGCGAAUGGAUUCAUGCUGACAGCACAGGACGGGGUUAGGCAGCACUGCAGUAGAAUCGCUGCAAAGGCGGGUUUGGCCCCCUCUCACAUGUGCUUUCUCGUCCUGUGACGCCUCCAUCUGUGCUAUGAUACAGCAGGAAGGCACUCACCAGAUUUGGCCCCUCAGUCUGGGGCUUUCCAAACUCAUCAGCCAAAUAAACUACUUAUCAAUCAUCCAGUCUGAUGGCAGCAGAAAAUGGACUGAAGCUGGGUUUGUGGUGCUGUGGGACACACAGGCUUCUGCCAUGGUUAAAGUCCUUUGGCACCUGAAGGCUCUUGGGUAAGUCCUUUUGCUCCCCUCACGACCCUCUCCUUGCCCACAAACAGGGACAACUGACCAUUCACACCAGGAGGCCGGAGCACAGAGCUGGCAAGGUGGCCUCAUCCAGUCCUCUGUGAUGCUUCUUCUGCCCUGCCCCUCCCACACCAGGCCCCUGGGGAGGCAGUGCAGCUCACCUGGGCACCAGGCAUUGAAGAGCAGGGCGGCGUGCCCCAACACGAAGCUGGAGCCCUGGUAGCCUGUGGAGGCUUCCAGACUGAGGCGAUAUAGGCCAAUGGGGGCGCCAGCCGGGGUGUUGAGGCAGCAGCGCAGAGGACACCAUCCUGCUGGUCCACCGCUGAGGCUGACCAGGCACACCCAUCCACAGCAUCGGACAGCGAGAAGCGAGCCUUGGUCCCGGCCUCUUCGCUGGGGCUGGGCCUGCG